RNAcentral lists this ribosomal RNA (190 nucleotides) under uncultured bacterium. RNAcentral's name for it is "partial 16S ribosomal RNA". It matches the Rfam family "Bacterial small subunit ribosomal RNA", at positions 338 to 525 of the family's 1533-position model. The record is from RNAcentral.
UCUACGGGAGGCAGCAGUGAGGAAUAUUGGUCAAUGGGCGAGAGCCUGAACCAGCCAAGUAGCGUGCAGGAUGACGGCCCUAUGGGUUGUAAACUGCUUUUAUGCGGGAAUAAGAUCAGAUACGUGUAUCUGCGUGCAUGUACCGCAUGAAUAAGGACCGGCUAAUUCCGUGCCAGCAGCCGCGGUAAUA